UAAGGUGGUUAUAGCACGAGGGAUCCACCUCUUCCCAUUCCGAACAGAGAAGUUAAGCCUCGUCACGCCGAUGGUACUGCUAUAUUGUGGGAGAGUAGGUAGCCGCCGUUUU
RNAcentral lists this ribosomal RNA (112 nucleotides) under Tannerella forsythia. Lineage: Bacteria; Pseudomonadati; Bacteroidota; Bacteroidia; Bacteroidales; Tannerellaceae. The record is from RNAcentral.